GUCCCUAUCUGCCGUGGGCGCUGGAAAUUUGACGGGGGCUGCUCCUAGUACGAGAGGACCGGAGUGGACGUACCGCUGGUGUACCUGUUGUUUCGCCAGAAGCAUCGCAGGGUAGCUAAGUACGGAAAAGAUAACCGCUGAAAGCAUCUAAGCGGGAAACUUGCCUGAAGAUUAGAUUUCCCGGGAACUUGAUUCCCUUGAAGGGUCGUUGUAGACCACGACGUUGAUAGGUCGGGUGUGGAAGUGCAGCAAUGCAUUAAGCUAACCGAUACUAAUUGCCCGUAAGGCUUGACCUU
Molecule: ribosomal RNA, 296 nt
Filed under: Hydromonas sp.
Lineage: Bacteria; Pseudomonadati; Pseudomonadota; Betaproteobacteria; Burkholderiales; Burkholderiaceae
Description: partial 23S ribosomal RNA
Rfam family: Bacterial large subunit ribosomal RNA
Source: RNAcentral